This 563-nucleotide long non-coding RNA is filed under the name Nicotiana benthamiana. RNAcentral describes it as "long non-coding RNA (NBEN_LNC027354)". The record is from RNAcentral. Lineage: Eukaryota; Viridiplantae; Streptophyta; Magnoliopsida; Solanales; Solanaceae.
UCCAAUUUAGCCUUUAUUUGGCUAUCUGAAGCUUGUUUCGUUUCGAGUUUUCUAGGUUUUUUGAAUUCUUAUUUUUCGUCGGCGAUUUUUUCAGUGACCCAUGCUCUUUUCUUCCUAUUCUCUCUUCUGCUUUUUGUGGUGUGUGUGGGUGUGUUCUGUUUUCUUGGACAGGUGCCUUAUUUUUCCGCCGAGGAUUUCUGGCAAGCUACAGUACUUCCGGCGACUACAUGUUCAGACUUUCGGCAGGACGCAACACAACUACACAUUCCGAUAAGCUUCAGGAAAACUUGCACUAGGUACUAGUCGCGGCGGCGAGGCCUGUUCGCGGCGUUUGGGAGUGAAGAGCUAAACAACACCGGCCGGGACGUGCAAGGGUCGGUAGCAGUUGACCUUGGGCACAUUAAAGUCUAUUUUCAGGUUUUUCCAUCGGGAGUUGGUACCUCCCGCUCUCUUGUUUACUUUGUACACCCUUUUACGUAUUUUAGCUAGCAUUCCGUGUGAGGUUUACUCUGUUGCUAUCCAGUUUGCAGCAUUUUGUGUAUUCCGCUAUAGUGCGUGUGUGC